UUGGGCAAACUUGCUGAAAGGCAAGGACGCAAAGCUAAUGGGUCUAAACCGAAUAUAAGGGUAUGACAGCCGGCUGC
RNAcentral lists this non-coding RNA (77 nucleotides) under pig gut metagenome. Its description in RNAcentral is "Cyclic di-GMP-I riboswitch". It matches the Rfam family "c-di-GMP-I riboswitch aptamer", at positions 10 to 83 of the family's 87-position model. From Rfam's summary of the family: GEMM was predicted in a large-scale screen for bacterial structured RNA regulatory elements. The record is from RNAcentral.